Molecule: ribosomal RNA, 440 nt
Filed under: uncultured bacterium
Lineage: Bacteria
Description: partial 16S ribosomal RNA
Rfam family: Bacterial small subunit ribosomal RNA
Source: RNAcentral
CCUACGGGUGGCAGCAGUAGGGAAUAUUGCUCAAUGGGGGAAACCCUGAUGCAGCAACGCCGCGUGGAGGAUGAAGGUUUUCGGAUUGUAAACUCCUUUUGUUAGAGAAGAAAAUGACGGUAUCUAACGAAUAAGCACCGGCUAACUACGUGCCAGCAGCCGCGGUAAUACGGAGGGUGCAAGCGUUACCCGGAAUCACUGGGCGUAAAGAGCGCGUAGGCGGGAUAGCAAGUCAGAUGUGAAAUCCUAGGGCUUAACCAUAGAACUGCAUUUGAAACUGUUAUUCUAGAGUAGGGGAGAGGUAGGUGGAAUUCUUGGUGUAGGGGUAAAAUCCGUAGAGAUCAAGAGGAAUACUCAUUGCGAAGGCGACCUGCUAGAACAUAACUGACGCUGAGGCGCGAAAGCGUGGGGAGCAAACAGGAUUAGAUACCCGGGUAGUC